Molecule: ribosomal RNA, 468 nt
Filed under: uncultured bacterium
Lineage: Bacteria
Description: partial 16S ribosomal RNA
Rfam family: Bacterial small subunit ribosomal RNA
Source: RNAcentral
GACGAACGCUGGCGGCGUGCUUAACACAUGCAAGUCGAACGGAAAGGCCCUGCUUUUGUGGGGUGCUCGAGUGGCGAACGGGUGAGUAACACGUGAGUAACCUGCCCUUGACUUUGGGAUAACUUCAGGAAACUGGGGCUAAUACCGGAUAGGAGCUCCUGCUGCAUGGUGGGGGUUGGAAAGUUUCGGCGGUGGGGGAUGGACUCGCGGCUUAUCAGCUUGUUGGUGGGGUAGUGGCUUACCAAGGCUUUGACGGGUAGCCGGCCUGAGAGGGUGACCGGCCACAUUGGGACUGAGAUACGGCCCAGACUCCUACGGGAGGCAGCAGUGGGGAAUAUUGCACAAUGGGCGGAAGCCUGAGGCAGCAACGCCGCGUGCGGGAUGACGGCCUUCGGGUUGUAAACCGCUUUCGCCUGUGACGAAGCGUGAGUGACGGUAAUGGGUAAAGAAGCACCGGCUAACUACGUG